RNAcentral lists this ribosomal RNA (454 nucleotides) under uncultured Sphingobacterium sp. Its description in RNAcentral is "partial 16S ribosomal RNA". It matches the Rfam family "Bacterial small subunit ribosomal RNA", at positions 341 to 792 of the family's 1533-position model. The record is from RNAcentral. Lineage: Bacteria; Pseudomonadati; Bacteroidota; Sphingobacteriia; Sphingobacteriales; Sphingobacteriaceae.
ACGGGAGGCAGCAGUGAGGAAUAUUGGUCAAUGGGCGGAAGCCUGAACCAGCCAAGUCGCGUGAAGGAUGAAGGUAUUAUGUAUUGUAAACUUCUUUAGCAGCAGAGUAAUAAGGGGGUCGUGACCUCCGAUGCAAGUAUGCUGAGAAUAAGGAUCGGCUAACUCCGUGCCAGCAGCCGCGGUAAUACGGAGGAUCCGAGCGUUAUCCGGAUUUAUUGGGUUUAAAGGGUGCGCAGGCGGGCUGUUAAGUCAGCGGUGAAAUCUCCGGGCUCAACUCGGAAACUGCCGUUGAUACUGGCGGUCUUGAUUCAUGUCGAGGAUGGCGGAAUGCAGCGUGUAGCGGUGAAAUGCUUAGAUACGCUGCAGAACUCCGAUUGCGAAGGCAGCUGUCCAGAGAUGCAAUGACGCUCAGGCACGAAAGCAUGGGGAUCGAACAGGAUUAGAUACCCUGGUA